RNAcentral lists this ribosomal RNA (517 nucleotides) under uncultured bacterium. RNAcentral describes it as "bacterial SSU rRNA". It matches the Rfam family "Bacterial small subunit ribosomal RNA", at positions 29 to 526 of the family's 1533-position model. The record is from RNAcentral.
AACGAACGGUGGCGGCGUGGAUAAGACAUGCAAGUCGAACGGGACUUUAUUUGUAGCAAUACCGAUAAAGUUCAGUGGCGUAAGGGUGCGUAACACGUGGGCAAUCUGCCCUGAAGCGCGGGAUAGCUUGGCGAAAGCCAAAUUAAUACCGCAUGUGGCUAUUGGAGGAGUCUCCGGGAUGCUAAAGACGGCGCAAGCUGUCACUUCAGGAUGAGCCCGCGGCCUAUCAGCUAGUUGGUGAGGUAACGGCUCACCAAGGCUAUGACGGGUAGCUGGUCUGAGAGGACGACCAGCCACACUGGAACUGAGACACGGUCCAGACACCUACGGGUGGCAGCAGUCGAGAAUUUUUCUCAAUGGGGGAAACCCUGAAGGAGCGACGCCGCGUGGAGGAUGAAGGUUUUCGGAUUGUAAACUCCUGUCAUUUGGGAACAAACCUUUCAUUUAACUGAUGAAAGACUGAUAGUACCAGAAGAGGAAGAGACGGCUAACUCUGUGCCAGCAGCCGCAGUAAAAC